GAAUUCCACAGGUACAAAUUGCACCGUGUAUGGUUAUUCUUCCUUAGUGCGUAGAGCAAUAGAGAGCUUUCAAGUGAUGGACAAUUUACUGAUCUGAAGUACCUCUGGAUGUUUUUUCACUUGUUAAUUGAUACCAUAAUUUCUUUUGAGUGAAUUUUUUUUUGUUAGUAUUAUAAUAUAUAAGCUUGUAAAGCAUCACUGUUCUUUUCCAGUAAGCAACUGAUGGGUGCCUUUGGAAAGAAAGGAGACUAUUAAGACACCUUUACUGGGAAUACGCUUGAGGAUUUCUUUGCAUCACAAAUUUAAAAAUGAAAAUGAAAAUCAUUGUUCAUAUGAUAAUACAGGGGGAUUUUGGAAUCAACAUAGGGUUCUCCUUUGUAAUUUAUUUUUGCAUAAAAUGCUUAAAUUCUAUGUUAAACUCAUAAACCCAGAAAACUAAUAUUUAGGAUUUUAAAAACUUUGAUUUCAGAUUGAUAAAAAAUGAAGCCAUGAUAGUUUUAGACCAUCAUUUAUUCAUUCCAGCUUUGCAUGUAUGAAGAAAAUAGUCCCCAGCAUUAAGAUAUUUAUUAUUUGUUGAACAAGCAUUAACAAUUUUCUGGCUUGUGGCAAAGAAAAAU
Molecule: unclassified non-coding RNA, 617 nt
Filed under: Hevea brasiliensis (rubber tree)
Lineage: Eukaryota; Viridiplantae; Streptophyta; Magnoliopsida; Malpighiales; Euphorbiaceae
Source: RNAcentral